GGGGCUGUGGGGUAGCUUGGUUCAGAGCAGUAUCUUGCCUGAUAGCAAUUAUCCUUUCUGGCUUGGGACCAGAGGACCCCGGUUCAAAUCCGGGCAGCCCCA
This 102-nucleotide transfer RNA is filed under the name Candidatus Woesearchaeota archaeon. RNAcentral's name for it is "tRNA-Pro". It matches the Rfam family "tRNA". Rfam says of the family: Transfer RNA (tRNA) molecules are approximately 80 nucleotides in length. Their secondary structure includes four short double-helical elements and three loops (D, anti-codon, and T loops). Lineage: Archaea; Nanobdellati; Candidatus Woesearchaeota. The record is from RNAcentral.